AGCUCGGCCCCAGUGACCGGCGCGUGUGAAUCCGCCAGGUCCGGAAGGAAGCAACGGUAGUACGUUGUCGGGGUGCUGGGUAGCCGGGCUAUC
This 93-nucleotide signal recognition particle RNA is filed under the name Phycisphaerales bacterium. Its description in RNAcentral is "signal recognition particle sRNA small type". It matches the Rfam family "Bacterial small signal recognition particle RNA". Rfam says of the family: The signal recognition particle (SRP) is a universally conserved ribonucleoprotein involved in the co-translational targeting of proteins to membranes. Archaeal SRP consists of a 7S RNA and homologues of the eukaryotic SRP19 and SRP54 proteins. In most bacteria, the SRP consists of a 4.5S RNA and the Ffh protein (a homologue of the eukaryotic SRP54 protein). Lineage: Bacteria; Pseudomonadati; Planctomycetota; Phycisphaerae; Phycisphaerales. The record is from RNAcentral.